This 68-nucleotide transfer RNA is filed under the name Paroedura masobe. RNAcentral's name for it is "tRNA-His". Lineage: Eukaryota; Metazoa; Chordata; Lepidosauria; Squamata; Gekkonidae. The record is from RNAcentral.
UAGACAUAGUUUAACAAAAACGCUGGGCCGUGGCCCCAUAAAUAAAGAGAAAAACUCUUUUGUCGACC